AUCCACUUUGCAUUAUCAGCUCAUGCUUCAGCGCUCUGCGAGUGUUUAUAGUCCUGUGACUUUAACACUUCAUGACUGAGAGCUGCUGCUCAGCGACUUCACCCACAGCAACCAUGAGUUUGAUCAGCGUCUUCAUCUGCACACUGGCCCUCUGCGCUCGAGGAUCCAGAGGUCAGGUGACUGUGACUCAGAGUCCUGCAGUGAAAUCUGUUUCUCCAGGAGACACACUCACCAUCAGCUGUAAAACCAGUCCUGCUGUUUACAAUGAUGGUGCUUAUUAUUAUUUGUCCUGGUAUCAGCAGAAAGCUGGAGAAGCUCCUAAACUCCUGAUCUAUGCUGCUGAUGAAAGAGAAUCAGGUAUUCCAGCUCGUUUCAGUGGCAGUGGAUCUGGAUCUGAUUUCACUCUGACCAUCAGUGGAGUCCAGACUGAAGAUGCUGGAGAUUAUUACUGUCAGAGUUACCAUGAGAUCAGUAGUAGCGCGGUGUUCACACAGUGUUAGAGCGUCGUACAAAAACCUGUGUGUGUGUGAGUGCUGCAGCUGGGACCUACUGCAGGUGCUGAGGGGGACGAUGUGAUCCAGCACACACACACACACACACACACAGUGUAGCAGUGGAAGCUAACAGCAUGUUCAUGAAUCAUUUUCCCCAGUGGUCACAUGUACAGGGAAGAAAGCAGUGUGUGUAGAACAGAGCUGUCUCAGUCCUGUGAUGAGGCCGAAAUACUGACUGAGACAUUUAAUCACGGGCGAUUGCUCUAAGACAACGAGGGAGUCUCAGCCUCCUCUAAAAAUGAUGAACAUCGUGUAGGAUGAAUUGCUCUAGGCUUAUGUUAUGGCCGACCUUAUAACAUUGCUAUUUCAGAUCCAGAAUCAUAGAAAUAUAUGUGCUCAACCCAACUACAGUGCGAAAUCAUUCCGUUAUAACUUUCCCCAGUUCGCCUAAUGUGUGCGUGAGUUUUUCCCCCUUGACAGCACGAUGCAGCCCAGCCUCAGUGCACUUCAAUGGCAUUUGGGAGCUAUGCGCUUUUCAAUCUCAAAAUGCAAUAUGGUUAUUGGACAAAUACUGUGAAAAUGCCCGCCCAUGGACUCCCAGCCUCACAGUGGGAGGGACAUGGCAGUUUCCGCGAGGAGACUGGUGAUUGGUGAAAGCGGCCAGAUAUUUUCUUUGAUUGACAGCUCGUUUCUAAUAGAGACAGGCAGCGGUGAAUCUCAGUUCAGUCCCAUGCAGAUUCGC
Molecule: non-coding RNA, 1236 nt
Organism: Neoarius graeffei (lesser salmon catfish)
Lineage: Eukaryota; Metazoa; Chordata; Actinopteri; Siluriformes; Ariidae
Source: the annotation of a RefSeq genome assembly